Molecule: ribosomal RNA, 253 nt
Filed under: uncultured bacterium
Lineage: Bacteria
Description: partial 16S ribosomal RNA
Rfam family: Bacterial small subunit ribosomal RNA
Source: RNAcentral
UACGGAGGGUGCAAGCGUUAUCCGGAUUCACUGGGCGUAAAGCGUGCGCAGGCGGUUUGCUAAGACAGGUGUGAAAUCCCCGAGCUUAACUUGGGAACUGCGCUUGUAACUGGCAAGCUAGAGUGCGGCAGAGGGGGGUGGAAUUCCACGUGUAGCAGUGAAAUGCGUAGAGAUGUGGAGGAACACCGAUGGCGAAGGCAGCCCCCUGGGUCGACACUGACGCUCAUGCACGAAAGCGUGGGGAGCAAACAGG